CCGUUGGUUUCAAAAUUAGGCAUUGACUCUGCCAAGUGCAAUAUUUAGGGCUACCUCCUUAUGACGCACCUUGCCCAUAAGGGACAACUACUCCCAUCUAGGUGUGAAAACAUGAGGGUUCAUUUUCUAAGCAAAUUUAGGUCAACUAAACUUACACCAAUACACGGAAACUAUUUCGGAAAAUGCAUAAUUCUCGACAUGGAAGAUAGAGGGCCAGUCAACCUAUAUCACGAAACCUACUAGUCAUCCUAGCUUUGCAAAUUCUUUCUUUCUGGCUCAAGACUUCAAGAUAGGUAGAAGUGCGCGGCGCGAUUAAAACUCGAAGUGUUAGUUGAUUAGAAAAAUGUGUGAAUUUUAAGUAACUCUUUUUCCUUAUUUUUUAGUGUUGGUGGAGAUAGUUGAAGAAAGCUAUUGAAAGAUUAUUUUAAAAGAAAGUUUGAAGUGCAGUAUUAGUUAAAGGAUACUGUGUGAUUAAGCCUAGCAACACGUUCCUCGUGGAUUGUGGGACACGGAUUACUACGGAAAAAGGCCAAAAUUGGUCUUUUUCCGUCUAUUUGCGAGUUUCGACAAGGAAGACCGACGCUAAGCUGGACCACCGACAAAUAGGAUCUCUCCAAGACCAAAUAUACCCCUGAGCCAGAGAUCAACCCUGCUUGUACUCCGUUGGAGACAAUUGCAGAAGAGGGAUUACGCCAAUCGUCCGAGUUGUCGGGGCUUCCAGAAAUCGCCAUCAUCCAGAAGGUAUCGAGUCCUCCAGUAAACGAGCGAGCGGCCAUUGUGGAAGGCAUUGUUUGACGCCAUUUUGGAACGCCAUUGGUGUUCGGAAUACGCCAUUGCUUAACGUCUCCCCCCCCCCCGGCCACUUGUCGUCGAACGUUCCGCUUAUUCCCGUUAUCCCAGUGGGGCACAGGAUCGUGCUUCCGUCCAUACCCGAGGCCAACAGUUCCCGAAGACAUCCGUGAGGUCCCAAUCCCGGAAAACCGUAAGUCGCGCUGGUUAGAUUGAGUAGAUAAUAAGCAUGCCAAAACUGUAUAUAUGUGCGUUUAGUUAAGUAUAACGUGAUCACGUAGAGGCAGGAUAGAUAGGUCAAAAUCCUUGA
Aedes albopictus (Asian tiger mosquito) is the source of this 1099-nucleotide long non-coding RNA. RefSeq lists it as uncharacterized. NCBI's taxonomy places the organism in Eukaryota, Metazoa, Arthropoda, Insecta, Diptera, Culicidae. The transcript is spliced from 3 exons. The record is from RefSeq and is a predicted model, not a curated record.